RNA transcript from Contarinia nasturtii (swede midge), 1456 nucleotides. It is a transcript of the gene named eukaryotic translation initiation factor 3 subunit G-like, with no coding region annotated. The transcript is spliced from 4 exons. The record is from RefSeq and is a predicted model, not a curated record. Lineage: Eukaryota; Metazoa; Arthropoda; Insecta; Diptera; Cecidomyiidae.
AAGCGGUACACAAAAAGCCGACUAUUGCACAGUAGAUUUUUUUGUUGUAUCACGCCACCAUUGAUUAACAUUAUUGGUUGAUUUUCGAUAAAUUCGUCGAUUUCAUGUAUAUCAUUUGAUUUUCGUGUUAUUUUUUCCAAAAGUUAAAGAGACAAAAAAAAAACAAAAUGUCUUGCCCACUUGACGAAGCAAUUCAAGCUCAAUCAAUUUGGUCAAGCAAAUACGAAAUCGCUGACGCUGAACAAAAAUUUCAUAUAAAGAUUAAUUACGUCGCCGCAUUAUAUACCGAUAUUAUUGAUCGUAUUUCGGCUUUAGUAAGGGACAAUGUCACUCUCCAACAAACGGUCAAUCAAUACAAAACAGUACAGUGUUAUUCGGACGGCCGCAUCAAACAUUUGGAACAACAUCAACUCAAUUUACAAAAGCGCAUCAAAAUACUGGAAAAACGUGUUGGCGUCGUAGGUAGUGGUGAUAGAGCACGAGAAAAAUUAACAGUCACCACCUCAGUAGUAGAAGAAGAAAAAUCAAAUAAUGUAACCAUCGAUCCACGAGAAGGAGACGGAGAGAAAGAAACUUCAAUGGGCGCCGCCUCAGAGGAAGAAGAAGAACAAUCAAACAAUGUAACCAUCGAUCCACAAGAAGGAGACGAAGAGAAAGUGAAACUAACAGCCACCACCUCAGAGGGAGAAGAAGAUAAAUCAAAUAAUUUAAUCAUCGAUCCACGAGAAGGAGACGAAGAGAAAGACACUUCAAUAGGCGCCACGUCAGAGGAAGAAGAAGGAAACUUAAACAAUGUGACCAUUGAUCCACGAGAAGGAGAAAUAGAGAAUUCAAAGACAGAAGACAAAGAAAAUUCAAUCAUUGAUUCAUCAUCGGGGGUGAUCAGUGAGGGCGCAGCAAAGCCCACAACAUAUACCGCAACUGGUACCAAUACGUGCAAAUAUGUGCCGCUACAUAUGAGAGAAAACCAUAAAAAUGAUACACGUUAUAGUAAUUCAAAAAAUAUUCGCAUUUCCAAUAUUCACAGAAUGUUGGCUCCAGAUGAUCUAAAAAAAUUGAUCACUAAAAUUGGACCAUAUACAAAGAUUAAUUUUCCACGCGAUAAAGAUACACAAACCAACGCAGGAUACGCUUAUAUAAGAUUCAAAGAACACAAACAUGCAGCCAAAGCAAUUUUUCUAUUGAAUGGUGAAGACUGUGGUGGUCAAAUUUUCAAAGUUGAAUGGUCCAGACCAUAGGUAUACAACUAAAACUAAACUGGAGAAAUCAGGGUAAACGUAUAAUUUUGACAUAAAUAAAUCAACAACCAAGACAACUUGACACAUUCUGUAUUAUUUGAAGUUUGAUGCCACCCAAUUGUAAUGUUACUUAUCAUAUGGAUACACCGUUCUGAAUGGUAGGUCAUGGGGUCACGGAGUUUCAUUCCGUUGUUGUUUCAUAUGAUGCGAGCAAUGUU